ACGGCAAAUACCUACCAUGUAUCUACUUGAACUAGAAGAAGUCCUUAGUGUUAGGCCACAGUCGUGAAGAAGAGGGAGGAGCACCGUUAUUUCCAGCACUUGUUAUUGAUUGCGAGCUUCCCAGCAUGCGGUGUUAUGAUUGGAAGUCUCUGCUCUGAAGGUCCAAGGCGCAGACUACUGAAGAGCAUCAGGUGUGCAAGCUCAGAGGAUUCAUCGCUCUGUUGUGAAAACAUAUCGCUUACACUGCUUUUGUUUUCUCAUAAAAGUUGGCAUU
Molecule: long non-coding RNA, 274 nt
Organism: Gymnogyps californianus (California condor)
Lineage: Eukaryota; Metazoa; Chordata; Aves; Accipitriformes; Cathartidae
Exons: 3
Source: RefSeq, a predicted model, not a curated record